Molecule: ribosomal RNA, 502 nt
Filed under: uncultured Actinomycetes bacterium
Lineage: Bacteria; Bacillati; Actinomycetota; Actinomycetes
Description: bacterial SSU rRNA
Rfam family: Bacterial small subunit ribosomal RNA
Source: RNAcentral
ACGCUGCGGGUGCUUACACUGCAAAGUCGAACGAGGGUCAUCCGAUCUCGAUUGGUGAAGACUAUGCAACGUCUAGAAACUGCCCCGCUCUGAUCAGUUGGAAACGACUGCUAAUACCGGAUGCCGCGACCGUCGCAUGGCCCGGGGGGGAAACCCCUGGAACCGGAAAAGGGUUACCGGAUCGGAGGGUCUCGCGGCUUAUCAGCUUUGUUGGGUGAGGUAACGGCUCAACCAAGGCAUCGACGGCUACUGGUCUGACAGGAUGAAUCAGCACCUGGACCUGAACCGGCCAACUCCUACGGGAGCAGCAGUGGGGAAUAUUGCACAAUUUGAGGCCCGAAAGCCUGAUGCAGCAACGCCGCGUGCGGGAUGAAGGCCCUAGGGUUGUAAACCGCUUUCAGCAGGGAAGAAAAUGACGGUACCUGUAGAAGAAGGUGCGGCCAACUACGUGCCAGCAGCCGCGGUGACACGUAGGCACCAGCGUGUCGAUUUUGGCGUAAAG